GACGAACGCUGGCGGCGUGCCUAAUACAUGCAAGUAGAACGCUGAAGGAGGAGCUUGCUUCUCUGGAUGAGUUGCGAACGGGUGAGUAACGCGUAGGUAACCUGCCUGGUAGCGGGGGAUAACUAUUGGAAACGAUAGCUAAUACCGCAUAAUAGUAGAUGUUGCAUGACAUUUGCUUAAAAGGUGCAAUUGCAUCACUACCAGAUGGACCUGCGUUGUAUUAGCUAGUUGGUGGGGUAACGGCUCACCAAGGCGACGAUACACAGCCGACCUGAGAGGGUGAUCGGCCACACUGGGACUGAGACACGGCCCAGACUCCUACGGGAGGCAGCAGUAGGGAAUCUUCGGCAAUGGACGGAAGGCUGACCGAGCAACGCCGCGUGAGUGAAGAAGGUUUUCGGAUCGUAAAGCUCUGUUGUAAGAGAAGAACGAGGGUGAGAGUGGAAAGUUCACACUGUGACGGUAGCUUACCAGAAAGGGACGGCUAACUACGUG
RNAcentral lists this ribosomal RNA (495 nucleotides) under uncultured bacterium. RNAcentral describes it as "partial 16S ribosomal RNA". It matches the Rfam family "Bacterial small subunit ribosomal RNA", at positions 28 to 507 of the family's 1533-position model. The record is from RNAcentral.